AGUGAACGCUGGCGGUAGGCCUAACACAUGCAAGUCGAACGGCAGCACAGUAAGAGCUUGCUCUUACGGGUGGCGAGUGGCGGACGGGUGAGGAAUACAUCGGAAUCUACUUUUUCGUGGGGGAUAACGUAGGGAAACUUACGCUAAUACCGCAUACGACCUACGGGUGAAAGCAGGGGAUCUUCGGACCCUGCGCGAUUGAAUGAGCCGAUGUCUGAUUAGCUAGUUGGCGGGGUAAAGGCCCACCAAGGCGACGAUCCGUAGCUGGUCUGAGAGGAUGAUCAGCCACACUGGAACUGAGACACGGUCCAGACUCCUACGGGAGGCAGCAGUGGGGAAUAUUGGACAAUGGGCGGAAGCCUGAUCCAGCCAUACCGCGUGGGUGAAGAAGGCCUUCGGGUUGUAAAGCCCUUUUGUUGGGAAAGAAAAGCAGCAGGUUAAUACCCCGCUGUUCUGACGGUACCCAAAGAAUAAGCACCGGCCAACUUCGUG
RNAcentral lists this ribosomal RNA (492 nucleotides) under uncultured bacterium. RNAcentral's name for it is "partial 16S ribosomal RNA". It matches the Rfam family "Bacterial small subunit ribosomal RNA", at positions 29 to 507 of the family's 1533-position model. The record is from RNAcentral.